Molecule: ribosomal RNA, 253 nt
Filed under: uncultured bacterium
Lineage: Bacteria
Description: partial 16S ribosomal RNA
Rfam family: Bacterial small subunit ribosomal RNA
Source: RNAcentral
UACGUAGGUGACAAGCGUUAUCCGGAUUUAUUGGGCGUAAAGCGCACGCAGGCGGUUUUGUAAGUCUGACGUGAAAUCCCCGGGCUCAACCUGGGAAUUGCGUUGGAGACUGCAAGGCUGGAGUCUGGCAGAGGGGGGUAGAAUUCCACGUGUAGCAGUGAAAUGCGUAGAGAUGUGGAGGAACACCGAUGGCGAAGGCAGCCCCCUGGGUCAAGACUGACGCUCAUGCACGAAAGCGUGGGGAGCAAACAGG